UGCCAGCAGCCGCGGUAAUACGGAGGGUGCGAGCGUUAAUCGGAAUUACUGGGCGUAAAGCGCACGUAGGCGGAUUGGAAAGUUGGGGGUGAAAUCCCGGGGCUCAACCCCGGAACUGCCUCCAAAACUAUCAGUCUAGAGUUCGAGAGAGGUGAGUGGAACUCCGAGUGUAGAGGUGAAAUUCGUAGAUAUUCGGAAGAACACCAGUGGCGAAGGCGGCUCACUGGCUCGAUACUGACGCUGAGGUGCGAAAGUGUGGGGAGCAAACAGGAUUAGAUA
RNAcentral lists this ribosomal RNA (279 nucleotides) under uncultured bacterium. RNAcentral's name for it is "partial 16S ribosomal RNA". It matches the Rfam family "Bacterial small subunit ribosomal RNA", at positions 506 to 784 of the family's 1533-position model. The record is from RNAcentral.